AAUUGUGUAGCUCAGUUGGUUGAGCAUGGAUCUCGCAAGGCCAAGGAUUGUGGGUUCAAUUCCCACUGAGGUCA
This 74-nucleotide transfer RNA is filed under the name Salmo salar (Atlantic salmon). It matches the Rfam family "tRNA". From Rfam's summary of the family: Transfer RNA (tRNA) molecules are approximately 80 nucleotides in length. Their secondary structure includes four short double-helical elements and three loops (D, anti-codon, and T loops). Further hydrogen bonds mediate the characteristic L-shaped molecular structure. tRNAs have two regions of fundamental functional importance: the anti-codon, which is responsible for specific mRNA codon recognition, and the 3' end, to which the tRNAs corresponding amino acid is attached (by aminoacyl-tRNA synthetases). tRNAs cope with the degeneracy of the genetic code in two manners: having more than one tRNA (with a specific anti-codon) for a particular amino acid; and 'wobble' base-pairing, i.e. permitting non-standard base-pairing at the 3rd anti-codon position. The record is from Rfam by way of RNAcentral. Lineage: Eukaryota; Metazoa; Chordata; Actinopteri; Salmoniformes; Salmonidae.